GCGCAGUAGUCUUUAUGGGCGCUGAGGUCAAGGAGGAGGGGAGAGCCUGCUCACGUGUGUCUUCGUGGGGGCAGGGGACACUUCUGGCCUUAGAAACACGGCAGAGGUUCUUAGUUGGGAUUGGUGGACACCGUGACAACCUAGAGUGACUCUGGACUGGCUGAAGGGACACAGUGCUGCACACUGACUUAGAAGGGGUCUGCCCCAUGAAUCUGGCUGGCUUGACCUUUCUUUUCAUCCUGCAGUUCAGAGAGCCUGGUUUCCUUGCCAUGGACAGAAGUCACGAUACGGCUGAGCACUAAGAAGAGGAAAGCGAUAUGAUACAGAAGGAAAUCCUGCCCAGUGAAAUUGCCUCAGCAUUAACUUCCCUAUUAAAACAGGGUAUUGGGCAAGAUGGCCUAUGCCUGUAAUCCCAGAACUCAAGAACGAGCAGGGGGAAGAGGGCCCCAAGCCUGGGCUAGCUGGUGAGCUCUAGGCCAGUAAAUCGCACAUAUGAAUGUGCAUAUGUACACAUAUAUACAUAUUAUAUAAAGUAAGACGCACAUGGCAUUGUGUAUUCCAAGUUGUUGCCUUGAGUUUAGGGCCAGGGUCCAUAGAAAGAUAUACUUUAAGUCUUAGAAUCCACUUAGAGGGAGCCUGUCCCCAGGAAGCAUCUUCAUUCUCCCAGUUCCUCACCCCCCCCCCCCCCAUGUGGUGUGGAAGCUGUUGCCAGGCUGGGUUGCCAGGCAUGGUUUUAACUCAAUGUUGGAAGGUCACCGAGCUAGCCAGUGCUGGCUAAGAGUAAGUCACCCCACUCAGUGUAAGAUGAGCUGCCUUAAGGUACGGGGGUGUGCCUGCACACAACAGCAAGGCCUUUCAGGACGCCCACAGUGCCUUCCCACACUUACUUGGAAACCCAGACUGACACCUCUGGGCAGCUGUGGGAAGGGUCCCCUGGUGAGAAGAAACCUGUCACUUAAACGUCAGUGACUCCUUUUUGAGGUCCUGCUCUGGUUAGGAGGGGCACUGGGGGGAGAUUAGUUGGUGGGAUAAAGUGACAUUUUUUCUGUAUGCUUCCUUAAUCUCUCAUCGUUCCAGGUCCCCACAGACGGGCAUGUCCUGGCAGAUGCCUGGGGUCCUGGACAGAGGAGCACACAGUUUGCGAGCAUCUGUUCUGUGUGAGGCAUGAGUCCUGGCUUCUGGCCCCCUGCCCCAGAACCUUAUAGGGUCUGGGGAAGACUGGCAUUGGUAUUUGUAAGUACAAACAGUGCUCAGUUCUCCAAAGGGAAAAGACAGAAUCCCAGCGGACUAUACCUGAAGCCUAGUUCAUGCUACUCUGGAGAGAAUGGUUGUCUGAAGAGCUGCCAUUUAAGUUGGAAACUGGCCGGAGGAGGUAUGAGCCAGAAUCAGUGUGGGAGAGAGCAUUCCAGCGGAAGGGAAAAGCAAGGGAAAAGCGUUUGUCUCACCUCCAGCCUUCCACAAAGAACCAAAGCAGCCCUUCUUAGCUAAAAAUAAGUUGUCCCUGCCAGGAGAGGGUCCCCAGAGAGAGACCCCAGAGACGAGUCUAUGACUCCCUCUGUGCGCCGCCCCACAGGAUACGCAGGCCCGGUGGUCUUCAAACUGUGGCUCCAGACCUUCCCCAGCUAAUUUCACCUCCCUGGAGCGUGUCUCCAGCGUGGCGCAGCUCCCGAGCUGGGCGCCCGCCAGUCAGUCUGGCCAGGCAAGGAACUAUUUUGGGAAUUUUUAUGAUGGAACAAUAUUUUUUGGGUAAACAGCGGAGAGCUGUUAAGCGGGGAUGCUCACCCCUAGCUUCUGGUUCACCUUUCUCCACGCGGAAGUGUGGUACUGUCAAGGAGGAACAAUAUCCCCGGGCUGCCUACUGCCCUGCACACGCCUCAUCGUUUCUCCAGGGUAAAUGUUCAUAGAAAUCAAUCAAUUCCAUGCCUUGUAUUCCUUGGAAACAACACCCUUGGUGUAGCCCCGGGGUGAUGGUGGGCUGGUCCCAACCUCAUGAACCCCUCAGGGCCUUAGGCUCAGCUGGCCUCAGAAUGCCAGCCCUGGAGGAGACCUUGGAAGACAUUUGUCUCCUCCUUUCCCCCUUGAGGGGACCAAGGCUUUCUCGAAGUCACUAGCCUAUCAACUUCAGGGGAGGAUGGAGUCUUAGCUGUCAGCCACUGACGCUUUGCUUUCUUCAAGGAGAAAAAGGCAAAGUCAGCAGCGAGAGUGCCAGAUACACUCAGAGAACAGAGAAUAUGUUGAGUCCCUGGGUACCGACCACGCCCCACCUCACGGGAGCACCAGCCCUCUGUCGCCACCGGACCCAGCAACCUGGCCUCCCUGGGACCAGCAACCAGCGUCACUUGCAUCGGUCUGAUCCCGCUGGGGAGGCCAGGACUCCCUGUGUUCCGAGAGUCAGCCCCUACCCAAGCCUCAUUUCUAGAGCGCUUUAUUAUCUCUCAUUCUAUUCUGUGGCCCCGGAGCAUCACGGGAAGCGCUGGGUCUGAUUUUCUCAGACUGCCCGUGCUUAUGUUUUGAUGUUUGAACUCAAAGAAAGAUGAUUAAGGCCCCCGGCUGAAAAGAGUAACAAUUGUUAGCUGGUGGCAGUACUCAGUUGGUAAAGUGCUGGUGUAGGAGAGCGCCAUUCUCUUUCUCACAGCGGCGGAUGAGGCCCAUUGGAGAAGCACCUUGGCCGCAGCCAAGGGAGCCCUGCAUGAGGAUGGCAGUCACGGUGAGACAGUGUGCUUAACUUAAGCCUUGUCACUGCAGCAGCGAAACCAAUUGAAAUUCAUUCAGCAGACUGAACAGGAUUGACUAAUUUUCUGAUACUGGUCUUGGACAAGUCACUUUUUUCUGGGUGGAAGCUCUGCCUGAACUCCUCUUCCCUCUCCAGCCGGCCAAGGGGCAGCUCCUCCCCUUCAGAUGCUCAAGACCACGCCUAAAGGGUCUCAGUUCCUGCAUCUGUAGGGCGGGAUGCCGUACCUCUUUUCCUAGCGGCCGCGGGAAGCCUCUAAGUGCCCGCAGAGGUGGCUUGGAUUAGGAAGAGGAACUGAAGAGCAGGAUCAAGGUGUGUGGGGAGCAUCUUCAGUGAGAUUGGAUGUCAGUCUCCUGCUGCCGAAUGGUUGUUACCGCUGUGUGAAGAUGGGUCACUGUGAUUGGUUUAAUAAAGAGCCGAUGGCCAAUAGCAGGAGAGAUAGGUGGGAUUUCCGGGGGGAGAGAGAAGAGGAGGAGGAAUCUAUGCAUGGGGAUUACACCAGCGAUGCCAGGGAGACAUGAAGAGAUCGGACGUACAGUACAGAGUAGAAGUAAUUGAGCCAUGUGGCAGAAUGUAGAUUAAAAAAAUGAGUUAAUUAAGUUAUAAGAGCUAUUUGGGUAAAAGCCUAAGCUAAGACCAAGCUUUCAUAAUUAAUAAGAAGUCUCCAUGUUGUUAUUUGGGGGGGGGGUGGCGAUUCAAAGAAAGUCUGGUGAGAAAACUCACUAGUCUCCCAUCACCGCACCACUUCCUCCUCAAGAGCUUGUGAGGACCUAGAUUAUUCUGACAGUCCCAGUUAAUCAGAGCUAGGGUAGGCCCUGUGGCCAUGCACCAUCGGCCGGGACACAAUUCUCCCCUGCCUUCCAUACACUCAGGAACUAGAGUUUAUCUUGGCUGUGAUGGGCCAGGCCUAAGGGAGCAGUCCUGAUAGAAACUCUCAUACAAUUGUAAGGAUGGAAUGUGCUGAACCCAGUUGCGUCUCAUUAAAAUGCCACGCAGGGCGAGCGUUUGAAUUUCACAUUCACGGCGCUUGAAUGUUUUAAUUCACACGAAACCCAUAAGCACCGAGGUGCAAUAACUGGCAGGGCCUGGGCCACUAAUUUAGGAUGAAGUGUGCCGGAUGGUGACAGCAAUGUUGACAGGACAUAUCGGCUCCGUAGUUUGUGGGAGGCCCCAGCUCAGGAGGGACCCCACCACCCCACGGACUGACUCACCGUUAGCACCGCUUAGUUUUUCUCAGGAAACCCAAUACUGGGCUGCUUUGUGAUCUGUGAAGGAUAGUGAAGGGUGAUCCGUAGAGAAGAGAGCUAGGGUGUCCUGGGACACGGGGAAGAAAGAGGACAAUGUGUCAGAA
Molecule: long non-coding RNA, 4082 nt
Organism: Arvicola amphibius (Eurasian water vole)
Lineage: Eukaryota; Metazoa; Chordata; Mammalia; Rodentia; Cricetidae
Exons: 3
Source: RefSeq, a predicted model, not a curated record